CGCUGACUGGCCGGGGCGGGGCGGGGUCGACGCCGAUGAUUGGCCAGAGUCGGGCGGGGCGGGGCUGGCGCCGCUCAUUGGCCUGGGCGCCACCCAGCCUGGUCCCCGCCGGGCCGCCUUUGUUCCCGCUGACAGCUGGGCUGCUAGACCUCCCGGCUGUCUCUCUAGAGUCGACUCUUCUCGGCUCUACCCAAGGCUAGAGACCCCCAAAGUGAAUUGGAGCCUCGCAGAACCGCUUUCCACACUGCUUCCUCACCUUCGCCAAGCCACUUCCACCUCCUGUGCCCUGGCCUUCAUUCAAGCCGGAAUGGGCUGAGGAACAUCAUACAGACAAAGAAGUUGGCAUGACCUUUGUCAGUUUUGAGGGAGACCUUUGGCAAGCGGUCUCUGUCAAGCUCACAUUUGUUUGUAGCCCUAAACUCGUUUAAACGAAUAGAGCAGGAAUCUGCUCCAGGAAUCUGAGACGAAAGGAAGGUCUGAUGCUGUCUCCCUAAGAGCUGGUGAGGUCCAAGACUGGUCGUCUGGGAUGAGGGGCUGCCCUCGGCUGGGGCUCCUGGGGCCAGCUGGCCUCCUGAUUGAGUCCUCCAGACUGACUACAGUCUCCAUCGAGAAGACCUCAAUCUUACCUCCUGCAAAAAUAGAGGAGAAGGGGAAGAGGGCAGAGGAGUGGAGAGGGUGGGGGUCGUACAAGGUAAUCUCCGUGGUCCUGUCCAGCAUCUUCUGACUCUCUUUUACCUGAGGUCACCGGGAACGACAGCGAAGAAGGACUGUUGCAGCAGCCUCGUGAGCGUUCCCCCCAUGGGCUCUUGGUAGACGCUGACCAUUUGGCUGCAGGUCCAGUUGAGGCACCGAGCACAGGAGCAGCAGUUGGCUGAGCUUCCUGGUGCUAGGAACAGAGCAGUGAAGAACACAGAUGUGUCCUUGUCCUCAUGAAGCUUGCAGUCUGCUGGGGAGUACAGUCACUGAACAGAUACUCUCCAAACUUGUGGUGGAAUUAGCAGUCAUUCAGUUUCUCUUGUCACUCCGUCCAGCCUUUGAAGGACAACCGGGAAGGAGACUUAGAGGCUGGCUCUCUGAAGGGGUGGAGACACGCAUCUGUGGUCCCUGCGGUCAGCCUUCAGCAGUUUGAGUUGGGAGAGCUUUUUCGUUUCUGUAGAACUUGAAGGCUGCCGUUUGAAAUGGCACUGGAUCAAGUGUUCAUUGGCCACCACCUACUUCCGACAUGGAACACAACUGCUCGUCCAGUUGCAAGCACAGAAUGAAGGUGAAUCAGCUCAUGGAUGGCCUUCAGAAAUUCUGAGCUUGGUUUUAGACAUUGUAACAUAUAUUAAGACCAACAGGGCAAAAGAGGUCCUUUAAGUGUGAAAUUAAAGUAUUAUCCAAGGAUA
RNAcentral lists this long non-coding RNA (1388 nucleotides) under Equus caballus (horse). RNAcentral describes it as "lncRNA (ENSECAG00000028099.3)". Lineage: Eukaryota; Metazoa; Chordata; Mammalia; Perissodactyla; Equidae. The record is from RNAcentral.